RNAcentral lists this transfer RNA (72 nucleotides) under Forcipiger flavissimus. RNAcentral describes it as "tRNA-Thr". It matches the Rfam family "tRNA". From Rfam's summary of the family: Transfer RNA (tRNA) molecules are approximately 80 nucleotides in length. Their secondary structure includes four short double-helical elements and three loops (D, anti-codon, and T loops). Lineage: Eukaryota; Metazoa; Chordata; Actinopteri; Chaetodontiformes; Chaetodontidae. The record is from RNAcentral.
GCAUUAGUAGCUCAGCUUCAGAGCACCGAUCUUGUAAAUCGGAACGCAGGGGUUAGAAUCCCCUCUUUUGCU